GACGAACGCUGGCGGCGUGCCUAACACAUGCAAGUCGAGCGGGAACCUCAGGAGGGGUAACCCUUCUGAGGGGAGAGCGGCGAACGGGUGAGUAACACGUGGGCAACCUGCCCCGGACACCGGGAUAACCCAGGGAAACCUGAGCUAAUACCGGAUACUCCGGCGCGAUCGCAUGGUCGUGCCGGGAAAGCUCCGACGGUCCGGGAUGGGCCCGCGGCCUAUCAGCUUGUUGGUGGGGUAACGGCCCACCAAGGCGACGACGGGUAGCUGGUCUGAGAGGACGGCCAGCCACACUGGGACUGAGACACGGCCCAGACUCCUACGGGAGGCAGCAGUGGGGGAUCUUGCGCUAAUGCGCGAAAGCGUGACGCAGCGACGCCGCGUGGGGAUGAAGGCC
Molecule: ribosomal RNA, 397 nt
Filed under: uncultured bacterium
Lineage: Bacteria
Description: bacterial SSU rRNA
Rfam family: Bacterial small subunit ribosomal RNA
Source: RNAcentral